UUAGAGUAUGGGAACAUAAUAUUCUCCUUAAUGA
Molecule: transfer RNA, 34 nt
Filed under: Mammut americanum (American mastodon)
Lineage: Eukaryota; Metazoa; Chordata; Mammalia; Proboscidea; Mammutidae
Description: partial tRNA-Lys
Source: RNAcentral